GACGAACGCUGGCGGCGUGCUUAACACAUGCAAGUCGAACGGAAAGGCCCUGCUUUUGUGGGGUGCUCGAGUGGCGAACGGUGAGUAACACGUGAGUAACCUGCCCUUGACUUUGGGAUAACUUCAGGAAACUGGGGCUAAUACCGGAUAGGAGCUCCUGCUGCAUGGUGGGGUUGGAAAGUUUCGGCGGUUGGGGAUGGACUCGCGGCUUAUCAGCUUGUUGGUGGGGUAGUGGCUUACCAAGGCUUUGACGGGUAGCCGGCCUGAGAGGGUGACCGGCCACAUUGGGACUGAGAUACGGCCCAGACUCCUACGGGAGGCAGCAGUGGGGAAUAUUGCACAAUGGGCGGAAGGCCUGAUGCAGCAACGCCGCCGUGCGGGAUGACGGCCGUCG
This 394-nucleotide ribosomal RNA is filed under the name uncultured bacterium. RNAcentral describes it as "bacterial SSU rRNA". It matches the Rfam family "Bacterial small subunit ribosomal RNA", at positions 28 to 420 of the family's 1533-position model. The record is from RNAcentral.